Molecule: long non-coding RNA, 216 nt
Organism: Oncorhynchus keta (chum salmon)
Lineage: Eukaryota; Metazoa; Chordata; Actinopteri; Salmoniformes; Salmonidae
Exons: 3
Source: RefSeq, a predicted model, not a curated record
UAUAACAGUAUGCAUCUCUAGGUCUCUAUAACAGUCUGUAUCUCUAUGUCUCUAUAACAGUAUGUAUCUCUCUCCAGGUCUGUAUAACAGUAUCUCUCUCUCGGUCUCUAUAACAGUCUGUAUCUCUAGGUCUCUAUAACAGUAUGUAUCUCUAGGUCUCUAUAACAGUAUGUAUCUCUAGGUCUGUAUAACAGUAUGUAUCUCUAGGUCUGUAUA